This is a long non-coding RNA of Rhopalosiphum padi (bird cherry-oat aphid), 603 nucleotides long. RefSeq lists it as uncharacterized. Lineage: Eukaryota; Metazoa; Arthropoda; Insecta; Hemiptera; Aphididae. The record is from RefSeq and is a predicted model, not a curated record. The transcript has 4 exons.
UAGGUCUUAGCUUUAGAAUUGAAUUCUGACUAUAAACAAAUAUUAUUAGUAUGCAAUACUCAUUUGAUAUCUGAUCCAGAAGGUGAUUUUAUUAGAUUGUUUCAAGCGUUAAUUGAACUAAUUAUUAUUAAUAAAAUAAAACAAAAUAUCACCAAGGAUUAUCCCGAGAGCAAUGUAUCGGUUAUAUUCUGUGGAGAUUUCAACAGUACACCUGAAAGUGGUGUUAAUGAUUUAGUCACCAAUUUAUUAUUACCAGAAGAACAUAGAACGGUAAAAAUGCUAAACGAUUUAAAAAGUAAUCUUGACUUUAAAAUGGAUAGUGCAUAUGAUACUGAUGUCCUGUACAGUAAUUAUACUGAAACUUUUUCCGGUCUUUUAGAUCAUAUAUACUUUACAAAUCAACAUCUCUACCUUAAUGAGGUAUUACCCAUGCCAUCACAUGAUGAUGUUAUCCAAUAUGGAGGAAUUCCGAGCGUAUUAUUUCCUUCAGAUCAUUUAGCUUUAAUUGCAGACUUCGAUGUAAAAUAAUUUAUCUAUUUUAUAAUGAUAUUUUCUUUUAUUAUAUUUAUAUUUUUUAAAUAAUAUUUCUAAUAGUACCUUUAA